CUAAAUUACGACACGUGGCAAGCUAUCAUACAACUUUCAAUUCUGUGUUUUCGUUGAAACUACUCUUUUUAUUGGGCCCUUAACUGUAUCAGCAUCCUGGACCGAGUUGGUCUAGAGCUUUUUUUUUGUAAUCGGAAUCUGCAUCUCCUGGAAUCAGUCGCCGUAACCCUUUGGAAUCCAUCCCAUCCGAUCAAACUUUAUGUAACGGAAUCAGUCAUAAACAGUCUUAUUAACUACAUCUCCCCACUCCUUCCACGACUUCCCAUUCAGAGCAGCCCUCCUUUCUUCCACUCGAUCGGUGAAUCUGCUAUAAGUAUGUUAGUUUGGAUCCAGGAAAUUCAUCAUUUCAUUCCUCACAAUUAUCAUGUCGUGUAAAGGUGGAAGCAGGAGCUGAAGAUCCUGUGAACCAAAAACCACAGCUUCUUCUCUCAAUAAGACUUGGAUGGAUCGGAAACUGGAGCAGUUAGAUAUUACUACGAAUGUGAGAAUGUUGGGGAUGAGGAUACAUGAAGGUUAUGGAGGGAGGGAUCAUGUCAUACAUUAAAACACACACAGGCUCAUCAUGUUUAAAUAUUUUUCUUCUCAAACCCUGUGUUGAAUUCUAACAGUUGUAUUAGCUUUCAUGGUCACAGAGAUUCUAAUAUAAAUUACUAUUGUCGUCA
Brassica napus (rape) is the source of this 662-nucleotide long non-coding RNA. RefSeq lists it as uncharacterized. The record is from RefSeq and is a predicted model, not a curated record. The transcript has 3 exons. Lineage: Eukaryota; Viridiplantae; Streptophyta; Magnoliopsida; Brassicales; Brassicaceae.